GGAUGUAGAUACUUCUGAGGCAACAUGUCCUGAGGCUCUCAUGGAAUCAAAUGUUUCUGCUGUCUCUGACAUAACAGGAGGCUCAGGCUGCGAUACAGACUCUUCAGAUGGUGAUGAUGGCACCUCUGUAGGCCAAGUAUUUUCAGCUGUUAAUGCUGACUGCUCAGUGGGCAAUGCUGGACCCUCUGGUGGUUCCUCAGGAGGCAAUGGUGGCACCAUAUAUGCCUCUGUAUAUGUGUCAGUGUAAGAAUCGGUGUAAGAAUCAGCAGCCAUAGACAUCAUUGAACGAUCAGCAGUAUAAGAUGACAU
RNAcentral lists this long non-coding RNA (309 nucleotides) under Homo sapiens (human). RNAcentral describes it as "HSALNT0272936". Lineage: Eukaryota; Metazoa; Chordata; Mammalia; Primates; Hominidae. The record is from RNAcentral.